CUUACUUCCUUCCCCAGCAUAAUAAAUUUAAAUUCAAAUACUUCCAUUUAUCAUAAUUCAGUUGCUGCACAUAUUAUCUGUAGGCAAUGAUAAUCCCUUGGGUUGAGUUUCCACUGUAAUAAAGUUGAUUGCAGCAGUCGGUGGCAAAUUGAAUAUUUGCCCGUAUCUGAGAGAGAGAGAGAGAGCCUCUGUGUGUCUCUGCAAGUGAAUGUGUGCGAUUUCUGCUCGUCUCUUUUUUCUCUGUUUGCACGCGUAUUUGUUCGCAUUGUUAAGUGUUCGUUCGCUUCACCAUCCACAAGCACAGCAUCCACAACGGCACAAAAUAUCUGUAUGAUAAAUGCAAAGUAGUCAACGAGAGAGAGAGAGAGAGAGAGAGUGAGCGGGGAACUGAACUGAGAGGGAGAGAACAGAUUCGCUGGGAACUGUGUUCCACCAUUGUUAACGGUUGUUUGCGAGUGGAUGAUGUAGUUUGUGUCUCUGUCUGUCUAAGAAUUUCAAGCUACCAAUUUAUCAUAUCAAGCAACCCUUCGCUCUCUGAUUCUCCCUACCACCGUACUGCGCCGCCUCAGCUGUUGCUUCGUUGGCUGUUUCCACUGUACUCCAAUUUGUUGUUGUUUUUGUUCGCGUCUUCUGCUCGUUGUUUGUAUGUAUCUCCUCCUCCUCCUCCUUGUUGAUGUUGUUCGAGGCAUCCAGUGUCUUAUGCCAAUCUUUGGGCUCUAUCGAUUUUCUUUUGUUUAAUUUACUGGACCUCUUGCCGCGGGGGUGUGUGCGAAGCCCUUUCAGAUUUCGUAAUCUAGUUCGACUCGGGCUCUUGUCUUUCUUGUUUAUUUGUUUGAGUCGAGCUCUUGAUAACGUUUGAGUACGAGCUGCCGAAUUGAAUUCAUUUCCC
Molecule: long non-coding RNA, 889 nt
Filed under: Drosophila guanche
Lineage: Eukaryota; Metazoa; Arthropoda; Insecta; Diptera; Drosophilidae
Source: RNAcentral